GCCGUGUGAGGCCACCUCUGCCAUGCUGCAGGCUCCCCAGCACGCAGUGGGGAACCCAACCUUGGAGAGCCGAGCCGGG
Homo sapiens (human) is the source of this 79-nucleotide small nucleolar RNA. The record is from Ensembl. Lineage: Eukaryota; Metazoa; Chordata; Mammalia; Primates; Hominidae.